GCCGGGCGCGGUGGCGCGUGCCUGUAGUCCCAGCUACUCAGGAGGCUGAGGUGGGAGAAUUGCUUGAGCCUAGGAGUUCUGGGCUGCAGUGCGCUAUGCUGAUCGGGUGUCCGCACUAAGUUCGGCAUCAAUAUGGUGACCUCCCAGGAGCAGGGGACCACCAGGUUGCCUAAGGAGGGGUGAACCGGCCCAGGUCAGAAACGGAGCAGGUCAAAACUCCCGUGCUGAUCAGUAGUGGGAUCGUGCCUGUGAAUAGCCACUGCACUCCAGCCUGGGCAACAUAGCGAGACCCCGUCUCU
RNAcentral lists this signal recognition particle RNA (299 nucleotides) under Aotus nancymaae (Ma's night monkey). RNAcentral's name for it is "Metazoan signal recognition particle RNA (ENSANAG00000005415.1)". It matches the Rfam family "Metazoan signal recognition particle RNA". From Rfam's summary of the family: The signal recognition particle (SRP) is a universally conserved ribonucleoprotein. It is involved in the co-translational targeting of proteins to membranes. Lineage: Eukaryota; Metazoa; Chordata; Mammalia; Primates; Aotidae. The record is from RNAcentral.